Molecule: ribosomal RNA, 127 nt
Organism: Tursiops truncatus (common bottlenose dolphin)
Lineage: Eukaryota; Metazoa; Chordata; Mammalia; Artiodactyla; Delphinidae
Source: Ensembl
GCCGGCAUCCAUUUCCGAAGCAGCCUAGAAGGGCCCGAUCUCGCCGCGAUCGCGGAAGCUAAGCAGGGUCUGGGCCUGGUUAGAACUUGGAUGGGAGACCUCUAGGGAAGACCGGGUGUUCUAGGCU